RNAcentral lists this ribosomal RNA (253 nucleotides) under uncultured bacterium. RNAcentral describes it as "partial 16S ribosomal RNA". It matches the Rfam family "Bacterial small subunit ribosomal RNA", at positions 524 to 776 of the family's 1533-position model. The record is from RNAcentral.
UACGCAGGGGGCAAGCGUUGUUCGGAAUUACUGGGCGUAAAGGGCGCGUAGGCGGCUUAUCAAGUCAGGCGUGAAAUUCCCGGGCUCAACCUGGGGGCUGCGCUUGAUACUGAUGAGCUUGAAUGCGGGAGAGGAUAGUGGAAUUCCCAGUGUAGAGGUGAAAUUCGUAGAUAUUGGGAAGAACACCGGUGGCGAAGGCGGCUAUCUGGCCCGUAAUUGACGCUGAGGCGCGAAAGCGUGGGGAGCAAACAGG